UCCCCCUACUGACUUGUGAAAAAGGUGACA
RNAcentral lists this non-coding RNA (30 nucleotides) under Mus musculus (house mouse). Lineage: Eukaryota; Metazoa; Chordata; Mammalia; Rodentia; Muridae. The record is from RNAcentral.